CCUACGGGAGGCAGCAGUAAGGGAUAUUGGUCAAUGGGGGAAACCCUGAACCAGCAACGCCGCGUGAGGGAAGACGGUUUUCGGAUUGUAAACCUCUGUCCUCUGUGAAGAUGAUGACGGUAGCAGAGGAGGAAGCUCCGGCUAACUACGUGCCAGCAGCCGCGGUAAUCCGUAGGGAGCGAGCGUGGUCCGGAUUUACUGGGUGUAAGGGGUGCGUAGGCGGCUUGGCAAGUCAGUAGUGAAAUCCAUGGGCUUAACCCAUGAACUGCUAUUGAAACUGUCGAGCUUGAGUGAAGUAGAGGUAGGCGGAAUUCGCGGUGUAGCGGUGAAAUGCGUAGAGAGCGGGAGGAAGAGCAGUGGCGAAGGCGGCCUACUGGGCUUUAACUGACGCGGAGGCUGGAAAGCGUGGGGAGCAAACAGGAUUAGAGACCCUUGUAGUG
This 440-nucleotide ribosomal RNA is filed under the name uncultured bacterium. Its description in RNAcentral is "partial 16S ribosomal RNA". It matches the Rfam family "Bacterial small subunit ribosomal RNA", at positions 338 to 795 of the family's 1533-position model. The record is from RNAcentral.